Long non-coding RNA from Nematostella vectensis (starlet sea anemone), 2363 nucleotides. RefSeq lists it as uncharacterized. Lineage: Eukaryota; Metazoa; Cnidaria; Anthozoa; Actiniaria; Edwardsiidae. The record is from RefSeq and is a predicted model, not a curated record. The transcript is spliced from 4 exons.
UGGCGACAUUCCCACAAGCGCAAGCUGUUUUUGAAACCUACAACAAAAUUUAAAAAAAAAUUCGCAUAUAAUUCUCUGCUUUAAAUUGUUCUUCGCUUUAUUGUGGAUAGCAUUGCAAUAGAAAACACUUUGCCAAUAUUUUGUGGUAUCGCCGUCUGAAUUUUAAUGGCUUUAAGGAAAAUAUGUUGUUUUAGAUUUUCCUGCCAAAACUUAUUAUUCACUUGAUUCAACCUCCUGCCAUUUUUGUAAGAAAAAGAAUCACUUUGAAUCAGUCUGCAAAGCUAAAGCACAGUCAAAAUCACAUGAGAUGCAGUUCUCGAUUUUUGUUUGACAGAUUCACAUAAUGAAAACGGCAUAAGCAAAUUGAAGUGACAUGGUGGCGGCUGUCUCGUCGUGUUGAUCGAAACAUUAGGUCUUUGCUUUGUGGACACGCUUGAUAAAGGGUCUAAUGUUCUUUGAGAAAUUCUGACUAGCGAAAUAAGUCCUCUCAUGUCACUGAAAAAUAUAAUCCAUCCUUGAGCAAAAACGGCUUGGUGAUGGCUAUAAACUUCCAACGUCUUUAAAUGAAAGCUCAAAAUUUGCAAAAUCAAAAUGUCGCGAAAGUAGGGCCAAAUUCGCCAAACACAUAACAAUGUUUUUCGCACAAAACUUUGGAAGACGUACAGUAGACCAGGCAUAACUGUAACCAACAGCCUCAAAGAAACAAAUGAUAAACACAGAAGCUUUGUAAGCAUUCACGAAUUAAAAACAAGGAUUAAGUUUGUCGUUUGACAAGAAAUGCAAGUUAAGUUAACUUACGUUUGUCUUCAUCCUCGAUAUAAUUUUCGCAAAAUAACACUACACAACACAAGGAUAUAGAAUCUUAGUAUCUGGAUAGGCCUCGAGCUUACCUUAAAUAGCAAGUAACGAAAACAUUAGCAACUUUUUCUGCAAGACCUCCUUACACCAGUCGACAUGACCAACCACGAGGGCAAUCCCGUCCACAGAGCCUUUCUCGUUUGUGCGCAUGCGUCGCUGAAACUCAUCGUCUGAUAAGUUUGGUAGAGCUUUUCACGUAUGCAAAACGACUACGCAUGCGCUAGGUUGGAAUUUUAGAUUCAACAAAGAUGGCGGACGCCUGGUGGAUAAUCCAGCCAAAUACUGCCAGGUUUCUACUCAGAACUCAAUAAUUACUUCGGAAUAAGACGACUUUAUUGACUUAGAGUAUCAGUGUGACUCAAAGGGUGGAUAAUUGUGCUCGGAUUUGUUUUAUUAUGAACAAAUUUUCGUAAACUCGUAAUGCCGUUCGCCUCGAAGAACGAGAAAUCAUGCGAGUUGUGGUCUCAAUAUCUAACAAAUGUGAGGUAGCAAACGUUGUAUGUCGGUGACAUUUGCUGCUUGAUCUGAGAAAGAAAUUCUUCGCGACUCUCUAUUGGAGCCAUGCCGAUCAUGGCCCCGAAUUGUGAGUGGGGGUGGCUGUCCAUCAUGUAUAGCUUUCCACGAUGUGCGACAAAACAGACAGUCAUUCCAUUACAAAUCACCAACGCUGCCAAGUUAGGCUCUCGAUCUAACCUCUGGAGUAUAGCUGAUCCACUCGGGGAACCAAGUAGUGGAGCUAAAUGGCUUUUGGCAGCUUCUACACUGAGUCUACACUGAGGCAGCUUCUACAUUUCCUUGUGUCGUGGUAUCGUACGUUCCCCCCUUGCAAUAGCUGUGACAAGUAAAGAGAUCCAUGGAGUACUUAGGGGGGGAAUUGCUGUCCAAUCGAUAACUGUCACGCUUUAUUGUAUGAGUCUAUUGUUCUUGGUGCACAUCCAAAUCUAGUCAGAAGGCCACUGUUGAGGGCAGAUCUUGGCAGUCCAUGCAGGUGGAGAUUGUUUCCUCAAUGGACUCAAAAAGGAGAAAUGACAGAUCAAUGCAAAGGGGAGAGGGUGUGGCAUUAUUUGCUUCGUGCCCUCCUGCCAAUCCCUACCCUCAUCCCCCCACUCUACCCUUGGGUGAUUGAAGAAUCUGGAUAAUUACCUUUAUUUUGAUAUAAGCUAGUCAUUAUCUACUCCCAUUGUUCGGUAUUUAAAACUACAUCUCCUUGGUCAUUUCUUCUGGCCUCACCGACGGGGGUCAUCAGGGCAUUCCAGGAGAGGGGGUCUAGAGGGUUUCUCAUCAAUAUUCCGUAGUUUGUCAGGCACUCUAGUCGGAACAGUAAAGUUUUGAUAUGCUUUCGCAUAUUAUUUAAUGAAGUUAGGUGAUCUUGGGAGGGAUUUUGCAAUGAGUCGCACAAGCGAAUCACAGGUGAAUGGGUAGUAUCCAAUAUCUAUAAACAACAAAAUACAUAUUAUAAUAACAUAUUUUUUUUGUUAUGUCACAAUUAAAAUCAAUUUACACAA